GAUUAUUUAGUUUAUAAAAAAUAAAUAUUUUGAAAAUAUUAGAAAAGAGAUUUCCUCUUAAUGAUCG
Portunus trituberculatus (swimming crab) is the source of this 67-nucleotide non-coding RNA. NCBI's taxonomy places the organism in Eukaryota, Metazoa, Arthropoda, Malacostraca, Decapoda, Portunidae. The record is from the annotation of a RefSeq genome assembly.